Molecule: ribosomal RNA, 493 nt
Filed under: uncultured bacterium
Lineage: Bacteria
Description: partial 16S ribosomal RNA
Rfam family: Bacterial small subunit ribosomal RNA
Source: RNAcentral
GACGAACGCUGGCGGCGUGCUUAACACAUGCAAGUCGAACGGUGAAGCACCUUCCUUUUGGUGGGUGUGGAUGAGUGGCGAACGGGUGAGUAACACGUGAGUAACCUGCCCCCUUCUUCUGGAUAACCGCAUGAAAGUGUGGCUAAUACGGGAUAUUCUGGGUCUGUCGCAUGGCGGGCCUGGGAAAGAUAUUGUUUCGGUGGGGGAUGGGCUCGCGGUCUAUCAGCUGGUUGGUGGGGUGAUGGCCUACCAAGGCGGUGACGGGUAGCCGGCCUGAGAGGGUGGACGGUCACACUGGGACUGAGACACGGCCCAGACUCCUACGGGAGGCAGCAGUGGGGAAUAUUGCACAAUGGGCGCAAGCCUGAUGCAGCGACGCCGCGUGAGGGAUGGAGGCCUGCGGGUUGUAAACCUCUUUCGCCAGUGAAGCAGGCCUGUCCCUUUUGUGGGUGGGUUGACGGUAGCUGGAUAAGAAGCGCCGGCUAACUACGUG